This 1874-nucleotide long non-coding RNA is filed under the name Jatropha curcas. RNAcentral's name for it is "long non-coding RNA (JCUR_LNC000229)". Lineage: Eukaryota; Viridiplantae; Streptophyta; Magnoliopsida; Malpighiales; Euphorbiaceae. The record is from RNAcentral.
GAAGAUUGAGAUGAACUGCAAGAUAAAGACAACUGUUAAUAGAGAGUACAAAUAUUGUAGACUUACUGGAGUGCCCUUUACAACUGUAGAAACAUGGGCUGGCACAGACCCUUCAGUAUCUGGAACUGGGGCAAGUCUUGAGAGUCCAAAAUCAGCAACCUUCGCAUUAAAACUAGAGUCAAGUAAUAUGUUGCUUGCCUUGAUAUCUCGGUGAAAAAUUGGAGGAUUGGCUUCAGUAUGUAGGUAUGAUAUACCCUUCGCUGAACCUAAGGCAAUUCUCAAUCUCAUCGCAAAACUCAAGGGUUCUUUAGACUUAGCUGCAAUACCGCACGAGGUUUAUCAACUAUGUAGCUCAUCAUAUAAUCAUAUGGACAUCUUACCAGUUCUUAUAUUUUAUAAAGAAAAGAAAAAGAUAUGCUCUUUAGUUGAUUCUUGCUCAUUAUAGUUUUCCGGAAUGACUGAUGGAGGAUAAAAAAGACAAAGUCCAAAGGGGAAAUAUGAGAUUUACCAGAAAGAUGAUCUCUAAGAGUGCCAUUUGGCAUAAACUCAUAAACCAACAUCUGCAGGCACAAUGGAAAUACAGUUGAGCUUUUUCCUCAAUGAUAAUUUUUAACGCUACUGAAGCAAGAAAGAGAAUAUCAAGUAAUUAUAUUUGGAUUUUUCUUAUGGAUGGAGGCAGUAUCAGAGUUGUAGAUAAACCUUGCUGCAACUCCUAAAUACCAUUUCUAGAAAGAAACUGUUUCUUUUUUUUUUGCUUGAAAUCUAAAACUCUGGAAAGAUAAAAGAAGCUACCUGUUCACCUUCUUCGUCACAAUAUCCAGUCAAAGAAACAAGAUUUCUAUGAUGUAGCCUUGACAACAAUUCUAUUUCUGUUAAGAACUCUUUCUCACCCUGUAAAGAAUGCUCCUGGGCACGUUUGAUGGCCACAAGUGUACCAUCAGCCAGGAUGCCUUUGUAAACUUUUCCAUAUCCUCCUUGACCAACUUGAGUGGAGCUGCUAAAAUUGUUUGUUGCCAGGGCCAUUUCAGAAUAAGAAAAGUCCUUCACACCAUCAAUUUUCAUGGAGGCUUUAGAUGCUAUACAUAAAUAAGGCACCAUGUUAGAGAUGGAACUGUUAAAACCAAUAAAUUUUCAUUAUCAAAUGCUAGAGCAACAUUACAUAUCAAUCUCAGAAAAUUUCAGCACAAAUUGUAUGUUUUGACCAUUUACAAGAAUAUAGAAUAAUUUAUCAGAAGAUGAUAUUUUCCAUGACAUUCACCUAUAGGUGAUUUAAUUGCUUUUGGGUUUAUACAUAUGCAGGUUAAUACAUCAGUUUUCUCCGACAUGGCCAGAGGUAGACAUUUUACACACUUUUAAUUGCAGAAGAAGUGAGAGAAGGAAGAUUGAGAUGAACUGCAAGAUAAAGACAACUGUUAAUAGAGAGUACAAAUAUUGUAGACUUACUGGAGUGCCCUUUACAACUGUAGAAACAUGGGCUGGCACAGACCCUUCAGUAUCUGGAACUGGGGCAAGUCUUGAGAGUCCAAAAUCAGCAACCUUCGCAUUAAAACUAGAGUCAAGUAAUAUGUUGCUUGCCUUGAUAUCUCGGUGAAAAAUUGGAGGAUUGGCUUCAGUAUGUAGGUAUGAUAUACCCUUCGCUGAACCUAAGGCAAUUCUCAAUCUCAUCGCAAAACUCAAGGGUUCUUUAGACUUAGCUGCAAUACCGCACGAGGUUUAUCAACUAUGUAGCUCAUCAUAUAAUCAUAUGGACAUCUUACCAGUUCUUAUAUUUUAUAAAGAAAAGAAAAAGAUAUGCUCUUUAGUUGAUUCUUGCUCAUUAUAGUUUUCCGGAAUGACUGAUGGAGGAUAAAAAAGACAAAGUCCAAAGGGGAAAU